GGGGGUGCGGGGGUGUCCUCCUCUCGUGUCGUGAGAUUUUGGGUUAACUCCCGUAACGAGCGCACCCCUUGUCCUUAUUUCCCCCCACGUUAGGGGGGGCACUCUAAGGAGACUGCCGGUGACAAACCGGAGGAAGGGGGGGAUGACGUCAAGUCAUCAUGGCCCUUAUGGCCGGGGUUACACACGUGCUACAAUGGUCGGUACAAAGGGUUGCCAACCCGCGAGGUGGAGCUAAUCCCAUAAAACCUAUCGUAUUCCGGAUCGCAGUCUGCAACUCCACUGCGUGAAGUCGAAAUCUC
Molecule: ribosomal RNA, 299 nt
Filed under: uncultured bacterium
Lineage: Bacteria
Description: partial 16S ribosomal RNA
Rfam family: Bacterial small subunit ribosomal RNA
Source: RNAcentral